This 477-nucleotide ribosomal RNA is filed under the name uncultured bacterium. RNAcentral's name for it is "partial 16S ribosomal RNA". It matches the Rfam family "Bacterial small subunit ribosomal RNA", at positions 29 to 507 of the family's 1533-position model. The record is from RNAcentral.
AUGCACGCUGGCGGCGUGCUUAACCCCUGCACGUCGAACGAGAAGUGGAGACGGAAACCUUCGGGCGGAAGACUUUAUUUCGAGUGGCGGACGGGUGAGUAACGCGUGGGUAACCUGCCUCAUACAGGGGGAUAACAGUUGGAAACGACUGUUAAUACCGCAUAAGACCACAGCACCGCAUGGUGCGGGGGUAAAAACUCCGGUGGUAUGAGAUGGACCCGCGUUCGAUUAGCCAGUUGGCGGGGUAACGGCCCACCAAAGCGACGAUCGAUAGCCGAUCUGAGAGGAUGACCGGCCACAUUGGGACUGAGACACGGCCCAAACUCCUACGGGAGGCAGCAGUGGGGAAUAUUGCACAAUGGGGGAAACCCUGAUGCAGCGACGCCGCGUGAGUGAAGAAGUAUUUCGGUAUGUAAAGCUCUAUCAGCAGGGAAGAAAAUGACGGUACCUGAGUAAGAAGCCCCGGCUAACUACGUG